Molecule: long non-coding RNA, 23226 nt
Organism: Antechinus flavipes (yellow-footed antechinus)
Lineage: Eukaryota; Metazoa; Chordata; Mammalia; Dasyuromorphia; Dasyuridae
Exons: 20
Source: RefSeq, a predicted model, not a curated record
AACCAGAAGUCCCUGCUGCAGCUCCAGGGUGAAGACCAGCACUUGCCAUCACAAGGAAGCAGAAGUCCCUGCUGCUGCUCCAGGGUGAAGAUCAGCAGGUGUCAUCACAAGAAAGCAGGAGUCCCUGCUGCAUCUCCAGCUUGAAGAAGACCAAUUGCCAUCACAAAUAACCAGUAUUCCCAGCUGCAGCUCCGGGGUGGAGAGAGUCCUUUUCCGUCACAAUAAAGCAGACGUCCAAGCUGCAGCUGCCAUUCGAAGAACACUAGCCAUCCCAAGUAACCAGAAAUCCCUGAUAUACUUCUCGGGUGGAGAGAGGCCUUUGCCACAAGAAAAAAGCAGAGGUCCCAGCUGCAGCUCCAGGGUGGAGAGAGGCCAUUGCCAUCACAACAAAGCAGAGGUCUGACAUGCAGUUCCAGUCUGAAGAACAACACGUGCAAUCCCAAGUAACCAGACCUCUCUGCUGCAGCUGUAGGGUGGAGAGAGGCCUUUGCCAUCACACCAAAGCAAAGGUCCCUGCUGCAGCUCUAGGGUGGAGAGAGACCUUUGCCAUCACAACCAGGUAGAGGUCCCUGCUGCAGCUCUAGGGUGGAGAGAGACCUUUGCCAUCACAACCAGGUAGAGGUCUCUGCUGCAGCUACUAUUCAAAGCACAACACUUAACACCCCAAGUAACCAUAAAUCCCUGGUGAAGUUCCGGGGUGGAGAAAGGCCAUUGCGAUCACAACCAAGCAGAGGUCCCAGCUGCAGCUCCAGGGUGGAGAGAGGCCUUUGCCAUCAUAACAAAGCAGAAGCCCCGGCUGCAGCUCCGGGUUCGACAGAGGCCUCUGUCAUCUUAAAGUAGACGUGCCUCUGUAGCUCCAGUUUGAAGACCAGCACUUGCCAUCACAAGUAACCAGUAGUCCCUACUGCAGCUCCAGGGUGAAGACCAGCACUUGCCAUCACAACGAAGAAGAAGUCCCUGCUGCAGCUGCAGGGUGAAGACCAGCACUUGCCAUCACAAGUAACCAGAAGUCCCUGCUGCUGCUCCAGGGUGAAGAUCAGCACUUGCCAUCACAACCAAGCAGAAGUCCCUGCUGCAGCUCCAAGGUGAAGAACAGCACUUGCCAUCAGAAGUAACCAGAAGUCCCUGCUGCAGCGCCAGGGUGAAGAGCAGCACUUGCCAUCACACGUACGGAGAAGUCCCUGCUGCAGCUCCAGGGUGAAGACCAGCAUUUGCAAUCACAAGUAACCAGAAGUCACUGCUGCAGCUCCAGGGUGAAGACCAGCACUUGCCAUCACAAAGAAUCAGAUGUCCCUGCUGCAGCUCCAGGGUGAAGACCAGCACUUGCCAUCACAAGUAACCAGAAGUCCCUGCUGCAGCUCCAGGGUGAAGACCAGCACUUGCUAUUACAAUGAAGCAGAAGUCCCUGCUGCAGCUCCAGGGUGAAGACCAGCACUUGCCAUCACAAGUAACCAGAAGUCACUGCUGCAGCUUCAGCGUGAAGAAGACCAAUUGCCAUCACAAAUAACCAGUAUUCCCAGCUGCAGCUCCGGGGUGGAGAGAAUCCUUUUCCGUCACAAUAAAGCAGACGUCCAAGCUGCAGCUGCCAUUCGAAGAACACUAGCCAUCCCAAGUAACCAGAAAUCCCUGAUAUACUUCUCGGGUGGAGAGAGGCCUUUGCCACAAGAAAAAAGCAGAGGUCCCAGCUGCAGCUCCAGGGUGGAGAGAGGCCAUUGCCAUCACAACAAAGCAGAGGUCUGACAUGCAGUUCCAGUCUGAAGAACAACACGUGCAAUCCCAAGUAACCAGACCUCUCUGCUGCAGCUGUAGGGUGGAGAGAGGCCUUUGCCAUCACACCAAAGCAAAGGUCCCUGCUGCAGCUCUAGGGUGGAGAGAGACCUUUGCCAUCACAACCAGGUAGAGGUCUCUGCUGCAGCUACUAUUCAAAGCACAACACUUAACACCCCAAGUAACCAUAAAUCCCUGGUGAAGCUCAGGGGUGGAGAAAGGCCUUUGCGAUCACAACCAAGCAGAGGUCCCAGCUGCAGCUCCAGGGUGGAGAGAGGCCUUUGCCAUCAUAACAAAGCAGAAGCCCCGGCUGCAGCUCCGGGUUCGACAGAGGCCUCUGUCAUCUUAAAGUAGACGUGCCUCUGUAGCUCCAGUUUGAAGACCAGCACUUGCCAUCACAAGUAACCAGUAGUCCCUACUGCAGCUCCAGGGUGAAGACCAGCACUUGCCAUCACAACGAAGAAGAAGUCCCUGCUGCAGCUGCAGGGUGAAGACCAGCACUUGCCAUCACAAGUAACCAGAAGUCCCUGCUGCAGCUCCAGGGUGAAGACCAGCAUUUGCUAUCACAAGUAAUCAGAAGUCCCUGCUGCUGCUCCAGGGUGAAGAUCAGCACUUGCCAUCACAACCAAGCAGAAGUCCCUGCUGCAGCUCCAAGGUGAAGAACAGCACUUGCCAUCAGAAGUAACCAGAAGUCCCUGCUGCAGCGCCAGGGUGAAGAACAGCACUUGCCAUCAGAAGUAACCAGAAGUCCCUGCUGCAGCGCCAGGGUGAAGACCAGCACUUGCCAUCACACGUACGGAGAAGUCCCUACUGCAGCUCCAGGGUGAAGACCAGCACUUGCCAUCACAAGUAAUCAGAAGUCCCUGCUGCUGCUCUAGGGUGAAGAUCAGCAGGUGUCAUCACACGAAAGCAGAAGUCCCUGCUGCAUCUCCAGCUUGAAGAAGACCAAUGGCCAUCACAAAUAACCAGUAUUCCCAGCUGCAGCUCCGGGGUGGAGAGAGUCCUUUUCCGUCACAAUAAAGCAGACGUCCAAGCUGCAGCUGCCAUUCGAAGAACACUAGCCAUCCCAAGUAACCAGAAAUCCCUGAUAUACUUCUCGGGUGGAGAGAGGCCUUUGCCACAAGAAAAAAGCAGAGGUCCCAGCUGCAGCUCCAGGGUGGAGAGAGGCCUUUGCCAUCAUAACAAAGCAGAAGCCCCGGCUGCAGCUCCGGGUUCGACAGAGGCCUCUGUCAUCUUAAAGUAGACGUGCCUCUGUAGCUCCAGUUUGAAGACCAGCACUUGCCAUCACAAGUAACCAGUAGUCCCUACUGCAGCUCCAGGGUGAAGACCAGCACUUGCCAUCACAACGAAGAAGAAGUCCCUGCUGCAGCUGCAGGGUGAAGACCAGCACUUGCCAUCACAAGUAACCAGAAGUCCCUGCUGCAGCUCCAGGGUGAAGACCAGCAUUUGCUAUCACAAGUAAUCAGAAGUCCCUGCUGCUGCUCCAGGGUGAAGAUCAGCACUUGCCAUCACAACCAAGCAGAAGUCCCUGCUGCAGCUCCAAGGUGAAGAACAGCACUUGCCAUCAGAAGUAACCAGAAGUCCCUGCUGCAGCGCCAGGGUGAAGAGCAGCACUUGCCAUCACACGUACGGAGAAGUCCCUGCUGCAGCUCCAGGGUGAAGACCAGCAUUUGCAAUCACAAGUAACCAGAAGUCACUGCUGCAGCUCCAGGGUGAAGACCAGCACUUGCCAUCACAAAGAAUCAGAUGUCCCUGCUGCAGCUCCAGGGUGAAGACCAGCACUUGCCAUCACAAGUAACCAGAAGUCCCUGCUGCAGCUCCAGGGUGAAGACCAGCACUUGCUAUUACAAUGAAGCAGAAGUCCCUGCUGCAGCUCCAGGGUGAAGACCAGCACUUGCCAUCACAAGUAACCAGAAGUCACUGCUGCAGCUUCAGCGUGAAGAAGACCAAUUGCCAUCACAAAUAACCAGUAUUCCCAGCUGCAGCUCCGGGGUGGAGAGAGUCCUUUUCCAUCACAAUAAAGCAGAGGUCCCAGCUGCAGCUGCCAUUCGAAGAACAACACUAGCCAUCCCAAGUAACCAGAAAUCCCUGAUAUACUUCUCGGGUGGAGAGAGGCCUUUGCCACAAGAAAAAAGCAGAGGUCCCAGCUGCAGCUCCAGGGUGGAGAGAGGCCAUUGCCAUCACAACAAAGCAGAGGUCUGACAUGCAGUUCCAGUCUGAAGAACAACACGUGCAAUCCCAAGUAACCAGACCUCUCUGCUGCAGCUGUAGGGUGGAGAGAGGCCUUUGCCAUCACAACUAGGCAGAGGUCUCUGCUGCAGCUACCAUUCAAAGCACAACACUUAACACCCCAAGUAACCAUAAAUCCCUGGUGAAGCUCAGGGGUGGAGAAAGGCCUUUGCGAUCACAACCAAGCAGAGGUCCCAGCUGCAGCGCCAGGGUGGAGAGAGGCCUUUGCCAUCAUAACAAAGCAGAAGCCCCGGCUGCAGCUCCGGGUUGGAGAGAGGCCUUUGUCACCUUAAAGUAGAGGUCCCUCUGAAGCUCCAGUUUGAAGAACAACACUUGCCAUCACAAGUAACCAGAAGUCCCUACUGCAGCUCCAGGGUGAAGACCACCACUUGCCAUCACAAAGAGGCAGAAGUCCCUGCUGCAGCUCCAGGGUGAAGAACAGUACUUGCCAUCACAACGAAGCAGAAGUCCCUGCUGCAGCUCCAGGGUGAAGACCAGCACUUGCCAUCACAAGUAACCAGAAGUCCCUGCUGCUGCUCCAGGGUGAAGAUCAGCAGGUGUCAUCACAAGAAAGCAGAAGUCCCUGUUGCAGCUCCAGCGUGAAGAAGACCAAUUGCCAUCACAAAUAACCAGUAUUCCCAGCUGCAGCUCCGGGGUGGAGAGAGUCCUUUUCCAUCACAAUAAAGCAGAGGUCCCAGCUGCAGCUGCCAUUCGAAGAACAACACUAGCCCUCCCAAGUAACCAGAAAUCCCUGAUAUACUUCUCGGGUGGAGAGAGGCCUUUGCCACAAGAAAAAAGCAGAGGUCCCAGCUGCAGCUCCAGGGUGGAGAGAGGCCAUUGCCAUCACAACAAAGCAGAGGUCCCUGCUGCAGCUCUAGGGUGGAGAGAGACCUUUGCUACCACAACCAGGCAGAGGUCUCUGCUGCAGCUACCAUUCAAAGCACAACACUUAACACCCCAAGUAACCAUAAAUCCCUGGUGAAGCUCCGGGGUGGAGAAAGGCCUUUGCGAUCACAACCAAGCAGAGGUCCCAGCUGCAGCUCCAGGGUGGAGAGAGGCCUUUGCCAUCAUAACAAAGCAGAGGUCUCGGCUAGAGCUCCGGGUUGGAGAGAGGCCUUGGUCAUCUUAAAGUAGAUGUGCCGCUGUAGCUCCAGUUUGAAGACCAGCACUUGCCAUCACAAGUAACCAGAAGUCCCUGCUGCAGCUCCAGGGUGAAGACCAGCACUUUCCAUCACAAAGAAUCAGAAGUCCCUGCUGCAGCUCCAGGGUGAAGACCAGCACUUGCCAUCACAAGUAACCAGAAGUCCCUGCUGCAGCUCCAGGGUGAAGACCAGCACUUGCCAUCACAAAGAAUCAGAUGUCCCUGCUGCAGCUCCAGGGUGAAGACCAGCACUUGCCAUCACAAGUAACCAGAAGUCCCUGCUGCAGCUCCAGGGUGAAGACCACCACUUGCCAUCACAACGAAGCAGAAGUCCCUGCUGCAGCUCCAGGGUGAAGACCAGCACUUGCCAUCACAACCAAGCAGAAGUCCCUGCUGCUGCUCCAGGGUGAAGAUCAGCAGGUGCCAUCACAAAAAAGUAGAAGUCCCUGCUGCAGCUGCAGCGUGAAGAAGACAAAUUGCCAUCACAAAUAACCAGUAUUCCCAGCUGCAGCUCCGGGGUGGAGAGAGUCCUUUGCCAUCACAAUAAAGCAGAGGUCCCAGCUGCAGCUGCCAUUCGAAGAACAACACUAGCCCUCCCAAGUAACCAGAAAUCCCUGAUAUACUUCUCGGGUGGAGAGAGGCCUUUGCCACAAGAAAAAAGCAGAGGUCCCAGCUGCAGCUCCAGGGUGGAGAGAGGCCAUUGCCAUCACAACAAAGCAGAGGUCUGACAUGCAGUUCCAGUCUGAAGAACAACACGUGCAAUCCCAAGUAACCAGACCUCUCUCCUGCAGCUGUAGGGUGGAGAGAGGCCUUUGCCAUCACACCAAAGCAAAGGUCCCUGCUGCAGCUCUAGGGUGGAGAGAGACCUUUGCCACCACAACCAGACAGAGGUCUCUGCUGCAGCUACCAUUCAAAGCACAACACUUAACACCCCAAGUAACCAUAAAUCCCUGGUGAAGCUCCAGGGUGGAGAAAGGCCUUUGCGAUCACAACCAAGCAGAGGUCCCAGCUGCAGCUCCAAGGUGGAGAGAGGCCUUUGCCAUCAUAACGAAGCAGAAGCCCCGGCUGCAGCUCCGGGUUCGAGAGAGGCCUUUGUCAUCUUAAAGUAGACGUGCCUCUGCAGCUCCAGGGUGAAGACCAGCACUUGCCAUCACAAGUAAUCAGAAGUCCCUGCUGCAGCUCCAGGGUGAAGACCAGCACUUGCCAUCACAACCAAGCAGAAGUCCCGGCUGCAGCUCCAGGGUGAAGACCAGCACUUGCCAUCACUAGUAACCAGAAGUCCCUGCUGCAGCUCCAGGGUGAAGACCAGCACUUGCCAUCACAAGGAAGCAGAAGUCCCUGCUGCAGCUCCAGGGUGAAGACCAGCACUUGCCAUCACAAGUAACCAGAAGUCCCUGCUGCUGCUCCAGGGUGAAGACCAGCACUUGCUAUCACAAGGAAGCAGAAGUCCCUGCUGCUGCUCCAGGGUGAAGAUCAGCAGGUGCCAUCACAAAAAAGCAGAAGUCCCUGCUGCAGCUCCAGCGUGAAGAAGACAAAUUGCCAUCACAAAUAACCAGUAAACCCAGCUGCAGCUCUGGGGUGGAGAGAGUUCUUUGCCAUCACAAUAAAGUAGAGGUCCCAGCUGUAGCUGCCUUUCAAAGAACAACACUAGCCAUCCCAAGUAACCAGAAAUCCCUGAUAUACUUCUCGGGUGGAGAGAGGCCUUUGCCACAAGAAAAAAGCAGAGGUCCCAGCUGCAGCUCCAGGGUGGAGAGAGGCCUUUGCCAUCAUAACAAAGCAGAAGCCCCGGCUGCAGCUCCGGGUUCGAGAGAGGCCUUUGUCAUCUUAAAGUAGACGUGCCUCUGUAGCUCCAGUUUGAAGACCAGCACUUGCCACCACAAGUAACCAGAAGUCCCUGCUGCAGCUCCAGGGUGAAGACCAGCACUUGCCAUCACAAGUAAUCAGAAGUCCCUGCUGCAGCUCCAGGGUGAAGACCAGCACUUGCCAUCACAAGUAACCAGAAGUCCCUGCUGCUGCUCCAGGGUGAAGACCAGCACUUGCCAUCCCAACCAAGCAGAAGUCCCUGCUGCAGCUCCAGGGUGAAGACCAGCACUUGCCAUCACAAGUAAUCAGAAGUCCCUGCUGCAGCUCCAGGGUGAAGACCAGCACUUGCCAUCACAAGUAACCAGAAGUCCCUGCUGCAGCUCCAGGGUGAAGACCAGCACUUGCAAUCACAAGUAACCAUAAGUCCCUGCUGUAGCUACACGGUGAACACCAGCACUUGCUAUCACAACGAAGCAGAAGUCCCUGCUGCAGCUCCAGGGUGAAGACCAGCACUUGCUAUCCAAGUAACCAGAAGUCCUUGCUGCAGCUCCAGGGUGAAGACCAGCACUUGCCAACACAAGGAAGCAGAAGUCCCUGCUGCAGCUCCAGGGUGAAGACCAGCACUUGCCAUCACAAGGAUGCAGAAGUCCCUGCUGCAGCUCCAGGGUGAAGACCAGCACUUGCCAUCACAAGUAAUCAGAAGUCCCUGCUGCUGCUCCAGGGUGAAGAUCAGCAGGUGUCAUCACAAGAAAGCAGAAGUCCCUGCUGCAGCUCCAGCAUGAAGAAGACCAAUUGCCAUCACAAAUAACCAGUAUUCCCAGCUGCAGCUCCGGGGUGGAGAGAGUCCUUUUCCAUCACAAUAAAGCAGAGGUCCCAGCUGCAGCUGCCAUUCGAAGAACAACACUAGCCAUCCCAAGUAACCAGAAAUCCCUGAUAUACUUCUCGGGUGGAGAGAGGCCUUUGCCACAAGAAAAAAGCAGAGGUCCCUGCUGCAGCUCUAGGGUGGAGAGAGACCUUUGCUACCACAACCAGGCAGAGGUCUCUGCUGCAGCUACCAUUCAAAGCACAACACUUAACACCCCAAGUAACCAUAAAUCCCUGGUGAAGCUCAGGGGUGGAGAAAGGCCUUUGCGAUCACAACCAAGCAGAGGUCCCAGCUGCAGCUCCAGGGUGGAGAGAGGCCUUUGCCAUCAUAACAAAGCAGAGGUCUCGGCUAGAGCUCCGGGUUGGAGAGAGGCCUUGGUCUUCUUAAAGUAGAUGUGCCGCUGUAGCUCCAGUUUGAAGACCAGCACUUGCCAUCACAAGUAAGCAGAAGUCCCUGCUGCAGCUCCAGGGUGAAGACCAGCACUUGCCAUCACAAUGAAUCAGAAGUCCCUGCUGCAGCUCCAGGGUGAAGACCAGCACUUGCCAUCACAAGUAACCAGAAGUCCCUGCUGCAGCUCCAGAGUGAAGACCAGCACUUGCCAUCACUAGUAACCAGAAGUCCCUGCUGCAGCUCCAGGGUGAAGACCAGCACUUGCCAUCACAAGGAAGCAGAAGUCCCUGCUGCAGCUCCAGGGUGAAGACCAGCACUUGCCAUCACAAGGAAGCAGAAGUCCCUGCUGCUGCUCCAGGGUGAAGACCAGCACUUGCUAUCACAAGGAAGCAGAAGUCCCUGCUGCUGCUCCAGGGUGAAGAUCAGCAGGUGCCAUCACAAAAAAGCAGAAGUCCCUGCUGCAGCUCCAGCGUGAAGAAGACAAAUUGCCAUCACAAAUAACCAGUAAACCCAGCUGCAGCUCUGGGGUGGAGAGAGUUCUUUGCCAUCACAAUAAAGUAGAGGUCCCAGCUGUAGCUGCCUUUCAAAGAACAACACUAGCCAUCCCAAGUAACCAGAAAUCCCUGAUAUACUUCUCGGGUGGAGAGAGGCCUUUGCCACAAGAAAAAAGCAGAGGUCCCAGCUGCAGCUCCAGGGUGGAGAGAGGCCAUUGCCAUCACAACAAAGCAGAGGUCUGACAUGCAGUUCCAGUCUGAAGAACAACACGUGCAAUCCCAAGUAACCAGACCUCUCUCCUGCAGCUGUAGGGUGGAGAGAGGCCUUUGCCAUCACACCAAAGCAAAGGUCCCUGCUGCAGCUCUAGGGUGGAGAGAGACCUUUGCCACCACAACCAGACAGAGGUCUCUGCUGCAGCUACCAUUCAAAGCACAACAGUUAACACCCCAAGUAACCAUAAAUCCCUGGUGAAGCUCCAGGGUGGAGAAAGGCCUUUGCGAUCACAACCAAGCAGAGGUCCCAGCUGCAGCUCCAAGGUGGAGAGAGGCCUUUGCCAUCAUAACGAAGCAGAAGCCCCGGCUGCAGCUCCGGGUUCGAGAGAGGCCUUUGUCAUCUUAAAGUAGACGUGCCUCUGUAGCUCCAGUUUGAAGACCAGCACUUGCCACCACAAGUAACCAGAAGUCCCUGCUGCAGCUCCAGGGUGAAGACCAGCACUUGCCAUCACAAGUAAUCAGAAGUCCCUUCUGCUGCUCCAGGGUGAAGACCAGCACUUGCCAUCCCAACCAAGCAGAAGUCCCUGCUGCAGCUCCAGGGUGAAGACCAGCACUUGCCAUCACAAGUAAUCAGAAGUCCCUGCUGCAGCUCCAGGGUGAAGACCAGCACUUGCCAUCACAAGUAACCAGAAGUCCCUGCUGCAGCUCCAGGGUGAAGACCAGCACUUGCAAUCACAAGUAACCAUAAGUCCCUGCUGUAGCUACACGGUGAACACCAGCACUUGCUAUCACAACGAAGCAGAAGUCCCUGCUGCAGCUCCAGGGUGAAGACCAGCACUUGCUAUCCAAGUAACCAGAAGUCCUUGCUGCAGCUCCAGGGUGAAGACCAGCACUUGCCAACACAAGGAAGCAGAAGUCCCUGCUGCAGCUCCAGGGUGAAGACCAGCACUUGCCAUCACAAGGAUGCAGAAGUCCCUGCUGCAGCUCCAGGGUGAAGACCAGCACUUGCCAUCACAAGUAAUCAGAAGUCCCUGCUGCUGCUCCAGGGUGAAGAUCAGCAGGUGUCAUCACAAGAAAGCAGAAGUCCCUGCUGCAGCUCCAGCAUGAAGAAGACCAAUUGCCAUCACAAAUAACCAGUAUUCCCAGCUGCAGCUCCGGGGUGGAGAGAGUCCUUUUCCAUCACAAUAAAGCAGAGGUCCCAGCUGCAGCUGCCAUUCGAAGAACAACACUAGCCAUCCCAAGUAACCAGAAAUCCCUGAUAUACUUCUCGGGUGGAGAGAGGCCUUUGCCACAAGAAAAAAGCAGAGGUCCCUGCUGCAGCUCUAGGGUGGAGAGAGACCUUUGCUACCACAACCAGGCAGAGGUCUCUGCUGCAGCUACCAUUCAAAGCACAACACUUAACACCCCAAGUAACCAUAAAUCCCUGGUGAAGCUCAGGGGUGGAGAAAGGCCUUUGCGAUCACAACCAAGCAGAGGUCCCAGCUGCAGCUCCGGGUUCGAGAGAGGCCUUUGUCAUCUUAAAGUAGACGUGCCUCUGUAGCUGCAGUUUGAAGACCAGCACUUGCCAUCACAAGUAAUCAGAAGUCCCUGCUGCUGCUCCAGGGUGAAGACCAGCACUUGCCAUCACAAGUAACCAGAAGUCCCUGCGGCAGCUACAGGGUGAAGACCAGGACUUGAUCUCACAAGUAACCAGUAGUCCCAGCAGCAGCUCUUGGGUGGAGAGAGACCUUUCCUAUCACAACCAGGUUGAGGUCCCAGCUGCAGCUGCCAUUCGAAGGACAACACUAGCCAUCCCAAGUAACCACAAGUCCCUGCUAUAGUUGUCCGGUGGAGAGAGGCCUUUGCCAUCACAACAAAGUAAAGGUCCCUGCUGGAGUUCUAGGGUGGAGAGAGACCUUUGCCAUCACAAUCAGGCUGAGGUCUCUGCUGCAGCUGCCAUUCAAUGCACAACACUUGAUAUCCCAAGUAACCACAAGUCCCUGGUGACCCUCCGGGGUGGAGAAAGUCCUUUGUGAUCGCAACCAAGCAGAGGUCCCAGCUGCAGCUCCAGGGUGGAGAGAGGCCUAGGCCAUCAUAACAAAGCAGAAGCCCCGGCUGCAGCUCCGGGUUCGAGAGAGGCCUUUGUCAUCUUAAAGUAGAUGUUCCUCUGUAGCUCCAGUUUGAAGACCAGCACUUGCCAUCACAAAGAAUCAGAAGUCCCUGCUGCAGCUCCAGGGUGAAGACCAGCACUUGCCAUCACAACGUAGCAGAAGUCCCUGCUGCAGCUCCAGGGUGAAGACCAGCACUUGCCAUCACAAAUAACCAGAAGUCCCUGCUGCUGCUCCAGGGUGAAGACCAGCUCUUGCCAUCACAUGGAAGCAGAAGUCCCUGCUGCUCCUCCAGGGUGACUAUCAGCAGUUGCCAUCACAACAAAGCAGAAGUCCCUGCUGUAGCUCCAGGGUGAAGACCAGCACUUGCCAUCACAAGUAACCAGAAGUCCCUGCUGCAGCUCCAGGGUGAAGACCAGCACUUGCCAUCACAAGUAAUAAGAAGUCCCUGUUGCUGCUCCAGGGUGAAGAUCAGCAGUUGCCAUCACAACAAAGUAGAAGUCCCUGCUGUAGCUCCAGGGUGAAGACCAGCACUUGCCAUCACAAGUAACCAGAAAUCCCUGCUGCUGCUCCAGGGCGGAGAGAGGCCUUUGCCAUCACAAAAAGCAGAGGUCCCAGCUGCAGGUCCAGGGUGGAGAGAGGCCUUUUUCAUCUUAAAGUAGAGGUCCCACUGUAGCUCCAGUUGGAAGAACAACACUUGCCAUUACAAGUAACCAGCAGUCCCAGCUGCAGCUCCAGGGUGGAGAGACGCCUUUGCCAUCACAACAAGGCAGAGGUCCAUCCUGCAGCUCUAGAGUGGAGAGAGUCCUUUGCCAUCAUAACAAAGCAGAGGUCUAAGCCGCAGCUCCGGGUUGGAGAGAGGCCUUUGCCAUCACAACCAAGCAGAGGUCUCAGCUGGAUCUCCAGUUUAAGAAGGACACUUGCCAUCAUAAGUAAGCAGAUAUCCCCGCUGCAGUUCCGCGGUGGAGAGAGGCCUUUGUCAUUACACCAAAGCAGAUUCCCAAGUGCAGCUCCAGUUUGAAGAAGUACACUUGCUAUCACAAGUAACCAGAAGUCCCUCCUGCUGCUCCAGUUUGAAGAAGAGCCUUGCCAUCAACAGGAAGCAGAAAUCCCUGCUGCGGCUCCACAGUGAAGAACAUCAUUUCCCAUCUGAAGUUCCCAGAAGUCCCUCCUACUGUUCAUGCCCUUCAAUCUUUUAAUGUGGAUGCUGCUGUAACCAGAAGUCCCUGCUGCUGAUCCAGGGUGAAGAUGAGCACUUGCCAUCAUCACAAGUAACCAGAAGUCCCAGCUGCAGCUCUGGGGUGGAGAGAGGCCUUUGCCAUCAUAACAAAGCAGAGGUCCCAAGUGCAGCUCCAGUUUGAAGACCAAUACUUGCCUUCAUAAGGAUCUAGAAGUCCCUCCUGCUACUCCAGGGUGAAGAACAUCACUUGCAAUCACAAGUAACCAGAAAUCCCUGCUGCAGCUCCAGGGUGAAGAAGAUCACUUGCCAUCACACGUAACCAGAAGUCCCUGCUGCAGCUCCGGAGUGGAGAGAGGCCUUUGCCAUCAAAACAAAGCAGAGGUCCUAGCUACAGCUCCAGUUUGUAAAAGAACACUUGUCAUCACAAGUAUCCAAAAGUCCCUUUUGCUGCUCCAGGGUGAAGAACGUCACUUGCCACUUGCCAUCACAAAUAACCAGAAGUCCCUGCUGCUGCUCCAGGGAUGAAGACCAGCAUUUGCCAUCACAAGAAAACAGAAGUCCCUGCUGCAGCUCCAGGGUGAAGAAGAUCACUUGCCAUCAUAUGUCACCAGAAGUCUCUGCUGCGGCUCCAGGGUGAAGAACGUCACUUGCCAUCACAAAUAACCAGAAGUCCCUGCUCCUGCUCCAUGGUGAAGUCCAGCACUUGCUAUCACAAGGAACCAGAAGUCCCUGCUGCAGCUCCAGGGUGAAGAAAAUCACUUGUCAUUAUGAGUAACCAGAAGUCCCUGCUGCAGCUCCAGGGUGAAGAAGAUUACUUGCCAUCAUAUGUCACCAGAAGUCUCUGCUGCAGCUCCAGGGUGAAGAACGUCACUUGCCAUCACAAAUAACCAGAAGUCCCUGCUGCUGCUCCAGGGUGAAGUCCAGCACUUGCUAUCACAAGGAACCAGAAGUCCCUGCUGCAGCUCCAGGGUGAAGAAAAUCACUUGUCAUUAUGAGUAACCAGAAGUCCCUGCUGCAGCUCCAGGGUGAAGAAGAUCACUUGCCAUCAUAUGUCACUAGAAGUCUCUGCUGCUGCUCCAGGGUGAAGAAGAUCACUUGCCAUCACAAGUAACCAGAAGUCCCAGCUGCAGCUCCAGGGUGUAGAGAAGCCUUUGCCAUCACCACCAAGCAGAGUUCUCAGCUGCAGCUCCAGCGUGACGAAAAGAAGUUGCCAUCACAAGUAACCAGAAGUCCCUGCUGCUGCUCUAGCGUGAAGAAGAGCACUUGCCAUCCCAAAAAAGCUGAUGUCCCAGCUGCAGCUCCAGGUUGAAGAAGAGCACGUGCAAUCACAAGAAAGCAAAAAUCCCAGGUGUACCUCCAGGGUGGGUAGAGGCUUUUUCCAUCCCAAAUAAAGCACAGGUCCCAGCUGAAGCUCCGUGCAAGAAGAGAGUACUUCCCAUCACAAGGAUACUGAAGUCCCACCUGUAGCUCCAGAGUACACAGUCCUUUGCCAUCACAAAAAAGCAGAUGUCCCUGCUGGAGUUUUGGGAUGGAGAGAGUCCUUUGCCAUCACCCAUAAAGUAGAGGUCCCAGGUGCAGUUUUAUUGUGGAGAAGAGUUCUUGCCAUCACAGGGAAGUGGAAGUCCCAGUCCAGGGUAAAAGGAGACUGCAAGAGCCCUAGUUUGUUAUAACAUUUUCAGUAUCAAAGAGGAGCACUAACAUUUGCCAUUGCAAGGGAGCAGGAGAUUUUCCUGAUUUAGGACUAGAAUGUAGACCAGGAGAACAGUGAUCACCCCUUUACUUACAUCACACUACCUUUGAAGAAUUGAAAGCUUACAAACCCCUUCAAAAUAGCAGGAUGGAAAAGUCUAAAGCCUGAGGCUCUGUUACCUCCAUUCUGAACCCAAGUUUAGUAUAAAGUCAUAAAUCAAGAAAUAGACUAGAGAAACAAGCAAACAACCAAAAAAGAACCUGAGCAUAAAAAACUUAGAUGGUGGCAAUGAAAAUCCAGUCACAACUCAAAAGAAAAAAAUGAUGUGAAGAGCUAAAGAAAGAGAUGAAAAUGAACGGGGAAAUGAUUUCAAAAAUCAAAUAAGAGCAACCAAAAGAAAAUUGGGAAAAGAAAUGAGAAGAAUGCAAGAGACUUAUGAAAAGAGAAUUAAUAGCUUGGUAAAAAGAGGUACAAAAUAAAUAUUGCAGAAAAUAACUCCUUAAAAAGUAGCAGUGGCCAAAUGUAAAAAGAGAUAUUAAAGUUUAUUGUAGAAAAAAUUCCUUCUAUAUUAGAAUUGGUUCACGUGGAAGCUAAGAGUCACAUGAGCUCUCAAGGAAUGGUGCAACAAAGUCAAAAGUAUAAAAAUUAGCAGAAAAUGUGAACUCUCAUCAGAAAACCAAAUUACCUCAAAAAAGACUGAUGAGAGAGAAUCCAAUGAUUAUUGAAUUAUUUGAAAUCCAUAAACAAAGAGAUAAUACAGACAUCAUAUUUCAAGAAUUUAUGAAGGAAAAGUGCUCAUAUAUUUUAGAAAUAAAUGGCCAAAUAGAAAAUGAAAGUUUCCACCAAUCACCACCUAAAAAGAGAUACCAAAAUCACAACUCCCUGGCAUAUUAUAGUUAAAUUUAAGCACUCCAAGAUCCAGGACAAAAAAGUAGAAGGGGCCAGAAAUAAAUUAUUCAUGUACCAUAGAGCCACAGUUAAGAUUGCACCAAGAUUUAACUGUACCAUUAUAAAAAAUCAGAGGACUUAGAAUCUGAUAUUUCUGAAGGCAAAGGAGUAGGGAUUAUAACCAAGAUGAGGCAGAGCCAUGAUCGUAGAGAAAAGACAGUGACUUCCAUGAAUCCUCCCGUAAAACUCUUCCAAAUACCUUUAAAUAAUGCCAUGAAAUGAUUCUUAGAGCAGAAGAAUCCACAAUGGUCUGUGUAAAAUAAUUUUCCAGCCAAACCUAAGUUAGAAGGUUGCAGGAAAGGUCUAUUAUCACAUUUGGGUGAGAGUGGAGGGAAUCCAGCACAGGCUGCACCAGCAGAGAUUGCACCAGCACAGACCCAGCCCCAGCAAACCAGGAACAAGCUUUGGGAGACACUUAGUCAGCCAGUAGGAACAGCUGCUUCCUGAGCCACAGAUGAUAAACGAGUGAAACAAUUGAUCAGUAGAUUACAUAGAUCUCUGCUUUCACUGAGGCAGGAUUCUAUUGCUUUGCCCAUACUGAGAUCUGGGUCGCAGUCCCUGAUGGCAAGGCAGUCCUAGGGCUAGUUCAAACACUUGCAUACCAGAGCUUGCAGUCCCAGUGGAGUGGUGCCCCUUGUCACAAUUCCAGGGCGGAAAAGAGGACUUGUAGUCACUCAGACCAAAGCACAGGCCAGAGGAGCAGUUAAGAGAGUUCUCUUUAGAUCAUGCCACUUUAGAAGAACUGAAAACAUCAAGUCCUUAGAAAUGUCUCUGAAAACAGCUGCACAAAUGCCCUGAAGGUUGGGACAAUGCAUUCUCUACCCUGGAAGCAGAGCCCUACAUUAACAAAGAGUUAAAAGUCAAGAAAUAGACUGGGAAAAUGAGCAAAUAAUAGGAAAAAAAUCUGACCAAAGCAAGUUCCUACCAAGACAAAAAAAAUCAAAACACACACUCUGAAGAUAACAAAGGCAAAGCUCCUACACCCAAAGCUUCCAAGAAAAAUAUGAAUUGGCUCAGGCCAUGAAAGAAUUCAAAAAAGAUUUUGUAAUUCAAAUAAAGAGAGAAAGUGGAAAAAAUGAGAAGAGAAAUGAGAGUGAUGCAAGAAAAUCAUGAAAAACAAGUCAACGGUUUGGCAAAGGCAACCCCAAAAUAUUGAAGAAAAUACCACCUUAAAAAACAAACUAGACCAGAUAGUAAAAGAGAUAGAAAAGGUCAACGAGAAGACUGUCUUUAGAAAGCACAUGUGGUCAAAUGGAAAAAGAGGCACACAAAAUCCACUGGAAAAAAGCCUCCUUAAAAAGUAAAAUUGGCAAAAGAGGAUUAUGUCAAAAAAAUAACCUACUCAACAAAACUGAGUAUAAUUAUUUUCCAGGGGAAAAUGAAUUUUUAAUGAAAUAAGAGACUUUCUAGCAUUUACAAAAGGCCAGAGCUGACUAGAUCAUCUGACAUUCAAUCACAGGACUCAAGAGAAGCAUCAAAAGUGAUAUUCAUCGGGUAAACAUGGAAAGAAACUGCUGUCCAAAUCGAUGGUUUGAACCUGCUGUAUCCAAGUUUUUUUCUAUGGAUCUCAACAUCGCCUUUGGAGUUCACUUUGAACUGCUUUUGAUUCAAUUCAUACAGACACCAAUUGUCAUUUUCACAUGUGAAAGUAACAUGAUUCCUCCCUCCUAAAGGUGGAAAGUUUUAAGCGCCUCUUAGUAUAGUUAGCCUGUCUCCCCGAUUGCUGCCAUGACCCAUUGGACACUUGUUAGUAACAGCUUUGACACACAGAACUAGAAACCACUAAGCUCAGGAGGGGAGCUCAAAUGAGAACAGCUGUUAGGAGGCUAGGCGUGGAAGGUUACUCCUGGCAGCUGAAGUGAGUCUUGGUUAUUGUUGACUGUGUAAUACUAGAAUUCAAUGGGAUUCCUCCCCUCAGCCAGGCCUUCCCUUUUCACUGGUUUUUAAAGUGGAGACAGAUUUUCAGGACAGCUGUAGUCCAAGGGAACAAAGUUCCUCCAAACUUUUAAAUGUGGAGGUGCUCUCUCGUUGUGUGCCAUUUAGAAUCAGCUCCUGGAAGUCUGAAAUACAAGGCUAGAGCUUCGCUGGAACUUGAGAAUAUCAACUGGUCACUAAGCAGGCGAUUCAGACUCUAAAGCAGCUGUCUCUGGAAGAUGCCUUCAAAGUCAGGGCCUCUGAUCUAGCCCUGACACUCAUGGUACCAAAGAGUUCCCAAAAAACAAGAGAAAGCAAUGAAUCUCGCCUCUACCCUGUCACAUCUCUGAAACAAUUCUGUUUCUUUCUAUAGUGUCCUUCUGUAGAGGGACAUGAUGGGAACACAGGACUGAUUGUCAGAGACCAGAUGUUGGAAAAGAUUGAAGGCAAAAGGAGAAGAGGAUGGCAGGAGAUGACAAAAAUGGGAGAGUGUCAUGGAAGGAGCAAACAUGAGCUUGGACAGACUUUGGAAGAUAGCAGACAGAAGGGCCUGGUAUGCUAAGGUCUCUGGGGUCACAAAUCUUCAACAUUCAAAAUACCGGCACCCAUAAAGUGAAUCAGAAGCAGGACAAACAGACAUGGGAUACCAAGACAGGGAUACAUGAAGGAAGCAGGACUCAGAUGAGGAUGUAUACAAUGGACGGGAACAAAGAAGACCCAAAGACAAGGAAUAUCCCAGAACAAUGAGAAUCCAUGACAUCUGCCCACCACAAUCUGUCCGGCCAUUCUCAAGACCAUGUGGCUCUCCUUCCCCUGCUUUGCUACCACAAGGAUGGAUACAGAACUUCCCACAAGAAACACUGACAUCAUAUGGAGGAACCUGUUUUACCUUCUUCUACGAUGGCAGGGUCAACUCUACAAAUGUGCAUAGAAUAUAACAGGGCCAAAAAGGACGGAAGGAAAGGAAAGGAAAGAGGACAAAAAGGGAAGAGGAGGCAAAGGAAAUAAGCAUUUAUUAAGAACCUACUAUGUGUCAGGCACUGUGAUAAGCACUUUACUAAUAUUAUCUUAUUAGCUAUGAGAAAGACCGCCGGUAUGAGGGACAAAUGGAGGAGCUGAUGUAAAGAGUGAGAGUUGUAUGCAGAGAGAAAAUGGUAGAGAAGAAGAUCUACCUAGACAGAGAGAGAUGAAUUAAAGUAGAAACUUCAGCAUCAAGACACUAAUGGCAAUUGAAAUUUAAGAAUGGUUCAUAUGCAGGCUCUUCCUCAUGCUCUCUGCCAACAGAUCUGGACCCUCUUCCCCCUAAUCAUGUGCCACCACUAUGGAAAAGCUCAGAAAAGCUGCAAAAAAUCGAGGGGAGCCCAAGAAAAUGACUUCUCCCCUGAAGUCAAAAGGAGACCCUGAGGGUGGGACCACGUCAGAAGAUGAAGAAGAAACCAGAGCAAGAGAGUCUACAGUCCCUCAGAAGAAUAGGAAAACGCUGUGGCUACCCCAGCAAAGGUCCCAGUGGCCACAAAAGCCACCACUCCUUCAACGAAGUGCCUGGGACAUUUUCUAAGAAAGCCCUCCAGCCAAAGCUGAUGUCAUCCUAGCAGAAGCAGGAGCCCCCCCAAGCCAUCUACCCGUGAGCAAAGGGGCCCCCAGGAAGUAAGUUAAGAAAGAAGAUGGUGACUCUGAAGAAGACAGUGAAUAUGAGAAGAAGAGAGAACCUGGGCCACCCAGAGCCAGAAAAGUGGGAGCAGCUCUAGCCAAAUACACUUCAAUGGUAGUUGUGGAGGAGGAGGAAGAAGAAAUGAAGGAGGAAGAGGAGGAGGAGGGUGGGGAAGAAGAAAUGAAGGAAGAAGAAAUGGCGAAAGAAGAAAUGGCGGCGGCGGAGGAGGAGGAGGGUGGGGAAGAAGAAAUGAAGGAAGAAGAAAUGGCGGCGGUGGAGGAGGAGGAGGGUGGGGAAGAAGAAAUGGCGGCGGCGGAGGAGGAGGAGGGUGGGGAAGAAGAAAUGGUGGCGGCGGUGGAGGAGGAGGGUGGGGAAGAAGAAAUGAAGGAAGAAGAAAUGGCGGCGGCGGAGGAGGAGGAGGGUGGGGAAGAAGAAAUGGCGGCGGCGGAGGAGGAGGAGGGUGGGGAAGAAGAAAUGAAGGAAGAAGAAAUGGAGGAAGAGAAAGAGGAGGAGGAGGGUGGGGAAGAAAAAAUGAAGGAGGAGGAACAAAUGGAGGAUGAAGAAGGUCGGGGAGAAGAAAUGGAGGAAGAGAAAGAGGAGGAGGAGGGUGAGGAAGAAAAAAUGAAGAAGGAAAAAGUGGAGGAGGAGGAGGAAGAAGAGAGAAUAAAUGGAGGAGGGUGGGGAAGAAGAAAUGAAGGAAGAAGAAAUGGAGGAAGAGAAGGAGGGAAAGAAGAAAUGGAAGAGGAGGAAGAAAUGGAAAAGGAAGAGGAGGAAGAGAAAAUAAUGGAAAAGGAAGAGGAGGAGGAGAAAAAAUGGAAAAGGAAGAAGAGGAGGAGAAAGAAGAAGAAGAGAAGGAAGAAGAAGAGGAAAAGGAAUAGGAGGGUGGGGAAGAAGAAAUGAAGGAGGAAGAAAUGGAGGAUGAGGAGGAGGAUGGUGAAGAAGAAGAAAUGGAAGAAGAGGAAGAAAUGGAGGAGGAAGAGGAGGAGGAGGGUGGGGAAGAAAAAAUGAAGGAAGAUGAAAUGGAGGAGGAAGAAGAAGAAAUGGAGGAAGAGGAGGAAGAAAUGAAGGAGGAGGAGUUGGAGGAUGGGAAGGAAGAAAUGGAGGAGGAAGAAGAAGAAUUAAAAAAAGAAGAAGAGGAGGAAGAAGAUGAAGAGGAAGAGAGGAGGAAGAAGAGGAAGAAGAAGAACAAGAAGAGGAGGAGCAGGAGGAAGAAUAAGAAGAGGAGGAAGAAGAAAAAAAGAAGAGGAAAAAGAGGAGAGGAGAAGGAAGAAUAUUAUGAAGAGGAGAAAAUGCAUGUCAAAGAAGCACCAGGAACAACGAAAAAGGAAAUGGGCAAGCAGAAAGCUCUCCAAAUCAAGAGUGGAAGACAUUUAAAGAAGUGUCUACAAACUUCAAUCUCUCUGCUGGUAACCUGAACUCGAAGUUGAACUCUUCAGAACUCAAACUGGCAUCGUGGAUGGCUUCCCCAAAAAGCCCUCACCAUCGUGGAUGUCAACAUCGAUGACACCAAGAAAUGUGGCUACGUGGAACUCAGAGCCACUGAAGACACAGAAAGGCUCCAGAGCUUAGUGGUUCACAGCUUGGCUGUGAAAGGAAGCUGGAAAAAAGCAAAAGCCAGCAGGAAAAUUGAGAUGGGAGGAUGCUCUUCGCUAGGGAAGGAAGUCCAGGAAGUGUGGGAAGAUGCUACUGGUAUCACAAUGAUGUGUGCCAAGGAUGGGACACCCAGCAAAAUUGCCUGUUUUAGAUGGAAGCAGAUGUGGACAAGAUCUUGGAAGAGAAACAAGGAAUCACUAUUGAUAGUAAAGUGCUCAUUCUAGACUACACAGUGAAGAAAAAUAAAGGACAAGAGAACAAAAGAAGUGGGGAGAAGGAUCCCUGAAAUUUGAAGAAAAGCAAGCUGGGAGCUUCAGAGACACUGGUGCCGGAUAAUAUGGCCGAGAGCUGGUGAGGAGAGUUCAAGUGUGUGAGAAGGCAAUGUUCAGCCUUCCCCAGAAUAUCCAAGGCUGACCAAAAGGGGACCCGUUUGCUGAAUUGACCUCUGUGGAAGAUGCAAAAGAAUCUCUGAAUUCUUGUAAUAACACACAAACUGAUGGCACAGCCAUCCAGUGGGAGCUCAAAGACUAGAAGUCAGCACCAAGGACAGAGUUCUACAAAGUUCUUCAAAGGUCUAGAUGAAGACAUAAAAGAAGAAACAAUGCAAGAUUAAUUUCACCCUGUGGGUGCCAGGAUAGUCACAAGGAGGGGGACAGGAUCAGCCACAAUGUACAGUUUGUGACCUUUUACUCAAAAGGAAAAGGUAAAGCUGCAAAAAGAGUCCAUGGAGGACAGGGAGGCUGAUGGAAACAAAGAAAGUAGGCUGAGGAUGGUGGCUUUGGAGGCCAAAGGGGCCAUUAUAGUGGUGGAGGUACGCAGACUUUGCUGGCCUAGGAUGUAGUAGGAGAGACCAAGUUGGCAGUGGUGGCAGAGGCUGGGAAAACUUAGGAGCUUGGGGUGAUAUCCUGGAAGGAUGAGGAGAAAAGGAGAAAACAAGGUGCAAGGAAAGAAGACAGAGUCUCCUUUUCCCUACCAUUGGACAGGACUCUAAUCACCAACUGAGCCUUCUGAGUAUUUAUCAAGAAAAACAGGAAGUCCAGAUUGACUCUUGGCAAAACCCAAUUUGACAUUUCAAAAGAGAGAGCGUCAGGAUUGGACAUGGGAAUGUUUUGCAGAGAUGGGUGACAAAUAAUGGAGUGAGUUUUUUUGUCCCCGAGUUCUCAACUUUAUGUCAUACACCAUGUGCAAAAACAUUUUUUCUGACAAAUAUUUGUGGAGGCUUUUUCUUUCAUUUUUCAGCUGUAAAAGAAAAAGUGAAAUAUUUUUCAUGGUUCCUACAUCAUCAGCCUGUCAUUUAGACACAUUAACUAACCUGGAAAACUAAAUCUGUGGAGGUGGAGAAUAAUACAGGUUCAGAUCAAAAAGGCAUAUAAUGAACUUUAUAUGAAUUACAUAUAAUAGAUGAGAGGCUGAAGAGAAAGUUCGAGGCAGGGAGUGGAUGGAGAAAGCCAGAGAUGGUGAAGGUGAGCAUGGGAGACACACAGGCCCCAAGGACAGGAGGGAAAGGAGAGAUGCAAACUCUGAGACUUGAAAUGGCAGUCAAACAUCAAUGGGGGAAAGGUUGAAUGGAAAGACACAGCCACUGGAAAAUGAUUGAAUUCAGGAGCAGCAAGGAAAUAAAGAAUGACUAGUGAGAGAGGAACAAAUAUUCUUAUCGCCUCUUUCAUAGAAGGAAAAAUGGAUGCAAAUUGUAUGUGUAUAAAUAUAGACAUUUCAGCAGCGGAGGACAGAGGAACAAAGAUGGUAGAUAAAAGGGAGGGAUUUUCUUGAUUUCUCCCAAAUUCACAUCCAAACUAUAUUAAAAUAACAUCUCAGAAUGAAUUCUGGAGUGGCAGAGCAGACAAAAGAAUGGGGUGAGAGGACUGUUCAACACAGAGUUUAAUUGGGGAGUGCAGCAGAGGCUGUGACCGUGACAAGAAGCAAACAAUAGGCUCCUGGAAUGAUGGACUCACCAGUGGCGCUUUCUGGAGUUUUCAGCCCAUACAAAAGGGGCUUUAGACAACCAGUCAGAUAGAGACUGCAGGGGACCCUUUGCUGGAAUGGGGAUUAGGAAUCUGUUGGCAUGCACAGUUCUAGGUCACAGGGACAGGAGUCUGGUUACAAUUACAAGGCAAAAACCAGUGCUGACCAUCACUCAUGUUGCAGGAGAUUAGUGACCAGACAUAUUCUUGGAUGAUUUCAUCUUCUAAGAAGUGAAAGUUUAGAGAUACCUGGAACUAUGUAGAGAAAAACAGCAUGAGACCUGAAGUUUGGAAUAGUAUGUCUUGAAGUCAAGGAGGAGAAUUGAACUAUAUGUGAAGUUGAAGCCAACAAAUAAGCCUGAAAAGCAGCAAAAGAGGAAACUAGCCAGAAAGCUGGAUGAGUGUAAAAAGGGGGUAUGAGUGAUGGAUGGAAAGAGAAGCCAAGACAGUUAGAGGGAUAUGGAAAAGUAGCUUCACCUGGAGAAAGGUUGGCAACUGUAGAUAUUGAGAUAGUGAGGUAUGUUGGAAAGCAUGAGAGUUGAAGGAGAGAUAGGUGAAAAAACAGAGAUAGCCAUGUUUAUAAGAAAGUUGAGAUGGUGAGGAUUAGAUAAGGAAUAUUGGGAAAAAAGCGGUCUCGGAGAGGGAGUAGAAUCCAUUUAGGAAGAAUGUUUCUCUGCUAAGGAAAAAAACCCCUGAGUGAGAGAAGAGUCCCAACAGACUAAAUGAAAAAAGUGGCAUAUAUAUGUAUACAGAAAAUGGAGGCUGAAUGGCUAUACAAAGGGUCAAAGGUGAUUGAAUGAAGAGAAGUAGAGAGAGAAGAGUGGAGUGAGAAAAUGAGAGGGUGAGAAUGGCAGGAUGAAAGGACAGACUGACCCAAACUCUGAUAUAUGAAUGAUUGUCAAAAUAUGCAAGAAAUGUGUGAAUUUGUGUGAAAUACAUGGUUUAACACAGCUGACCUGAGAACAAGGAUGAAAAGGAAAACCAGGGACACAGCCAAAGAGAAAGAGUUGGCUAAGAGGCCCAAGAGAAGUAGAAGGGAAUCCCAUUUGAGACCCAGACUUUGGGAAAUGGAUGAAUUUAGACACGAGUGCUAUAAAAGGGUAAAGAAAUAAAAGAAACAGAGAACCAUGAAUGUCUAGAAACCAAAGACAGAAAAUAAAGGGAAGAGAGACCUAGGCAGUGACAGGCAUUUGAAUGGAGACCAUGAGAAAUGAGGGACGGAUGAAGACAAAAAAAGAAUGAGCAAUCUAGGGAAAGAGAGCAAGCCAGUGAGAAAUGUAUGUAUGGAAAGAGAGAAAGA